RNAcentral lists this ribosomal RNA (100 nucleotides) under Notamacropus eugenii (tammar wallaby). Lineage: Eukaryota; Metazoa; Chordata; Mammalia; Diprotodontia; Macropodidae. The record is from RNAcentral.
AAUGCCUCUCAUGUCAUCUGAUUGGAUAAGCCAAGCAGGGUUGAGGCAGUGGUGGGUACCCAGUUGGGAGACCACCUGGGAAUAAUGCCAGUAGGUUUUG